GAGGCUUUAUCUUAAUUAGAGUAUCUGAGUUGCAUUCAGAAGAUAUAGGUUAGUGUCCUAUAAGUCUUA
Molecule: transfer RNA, 69 nt
Filed under: Osteocephalus aff. helenae DO-2022
Lineage: Eukaryota; Metazoa; Chordata; Amphibia; Anura; Hylidae
Description: tRNA-Ala
Rfam family: tRNA
About the family: Transfer RNA (tRNA) molecules are approximately 80 nucleotides in length. Their secondary structure includes four short double-helical elements and three loops (D, anti-codon, and T loops). Further hydrogen bonds mediate the characteristic L-shaped molecular structure. tRNAs have two regions of fundamental functional importance: the anti-codon, which is responsible for specific mRNA codon recognition, and the 3' end, to which the tRNAs corresponding amino acid is attached (by aminoacyl-tRNA synthetases). tRNAs cope with the degeneracy of the genetic code in two manners: having more than one tRNA (with a specific anti-codon) for a particular amino acid; and 'wobble' base-pairing, i.e. permitting non-standard base-pairing at the 3rd anti-codon position.
Source: RNAcentral